Molecule: long non-coding RNA, 454 nt
Organism: Oreochromis aureus
Lineage: Eukaryota; Metazoa; Chordata; Actinopteri; Cichliformes; Cichlidae
Source: Ensembl
CUCUCUGUGUUCUGGUCUUUGCGGGACUCCCUUGAUUUUCCAAUAUUCUGAUAAGCCUUAUCACUCACUCAGUUACUCGACAGUGUUUAAAACAGACAAAGGAAGGAUUCAGCCAAGUGUGUAUCCUGUAAAGCCUGAAGGGAAUGGAUAUCAGACUUCCUGUUCUGUUCUCAGUGAAACGACACAAACACGUUGCUUCAGAACUGGCUAAGAGAUGCACAUGGAGGAGGUUGGCUAGCUGGUUCAGCAUGAUUAGCACCCUUGGAAGCAGAAAGAGUUUUCACGGUGCCAUAUUGUCGGUGGUAAAAGAGGAGAGAAUAAAGAUGCAUCAGUCGAAGCUCUCUGCGUCACGUGUGGUAAUUCCAAGUGGGCAGCUACAUGGUCCUUCGAGCCGGAUGUUCUAAAAGCCCUGGAAUCAGAUUUUGCUGAGAGAACCUAUGAGAACAAAUAUGUG